GUGGGCUGGUCUCUGGGGAACUGGCAGCAGCUAUGGACUGUCUACCACCAAGGAGCUUCUUGAGGCUGUCCUCUUUGAUAUUCGGAUGGAAAUAUGUUCAUUCAGCUGGUGAGGUGUAAAACAGAAGAUAAUGAUAUGCAGAAUACAACCAAGUUGUAGUGACUUUACUUUGAAUUGCACAAGUAGUGGAAUCUCUUCCCCAGAGUUAACUGGAAUAGCCAUGUGGGGAUGCCCUCUAAACAAGGUAAG
Gymnogyps californianus (California condor) is the source of this 249-nucleotide long non-coding RNA. RefSeq lists it as uncharacterized. The record is from RefSeq and is a predicted model, not a curated record. NCBI's taxonomy places the organism in Eukaryota, Metazoa, Chordata, Aves, Accipitriformes, Cathartidae. The transcript has 3 exons.